GACGAACGCUGGCGGCGUGCUUAACACAUGCAAGUCGAACGGAAAGGCCCUGCUUUUGUGGGGUGCUCGAGUGGCGAACGGGUGAGUAACACGUGAGUAACCUGCCCCUGACCUUGGGAUAACUUCAGGAAACUGGGGCUAAUACCGGAUAGGAGCUCCUGCUGCAUGGUGGGGGUUGGAAAGUUUCGGCGGUUGGGGAUGGUCUCGCGGCUUAUCAGCUUGUUGGUGGGGUAGUGGCUUACCAAGGCUUUGACGGGUAGCCGGCCUGAGAGGGUGACCGGCCACAGUGGGACUGAGAUACGGCCCAGACUCCUACGGGAGGCAGCAGUAGGGAAGAUUGCACAAUGGGCGGAAGCCUGAUGCAGCAACGCCGCGUGCGGGAUGACGGCCUUCGGGUUGUAAACCGCUUUCGCCUGUGACGAAGCGUGAGUGACGGUAAUGGGUAAAGAAGCACCGGCUAACUACGUG
This 468-nucleotide ribosomal RNA is filed under the name uncultured bacterium. Its description in RNAcentral is "partial 16S ribosomal RNA". It matches the Rfam family "Bacterial small subunit ribosomal RNA", at positions 28 to 507 of the family's 1533-position model. The record is from RNAcentral.